UAUUGCUUACGUAAUGUUGAUAUUGAGUAGUACCAUACAUAACCUCAACAUUAUGAUACUUACAAACAUCGCUAAACAAGUAGUGCGAACGAUGUCGACAUUUCGCUUGGCGUUGGUACAACUUGAAGUAAAUGAAGUAAAACGCAAAAAUGUAGAGCGGGCAGUUUCCUACAUUUCUAGCGCAAAAGAGCGCAAUGCUGAUAUUAUAGCUCUUCCUGAAUGCUUUAAUUCACCAUAUGGAAUACGUAAUAAUUUGUUUUUUUUUUCAAUAAUUUACCAUGUGUGUAACAACUAUAUAGAAAAAAGUAAAAGUAGACAAAUUACCUUACCGUUUAUACUUCCAUAAAGAUUGUGAAUUGAGUCGAGAAUAUAGGAUUUCCCCAUUUUCAUGAUUAUCGUGAUUUUUGUAUAAAUAUAUUUUUUAAGAUACUAAUAAUUAGGUACUUAUAAAUUGGUAUUAUCAAUUAUUUUGCAUUUAUAAUUCCGCCUCUAGUAUAAGUGUUAAUUGAAAACUAACUUUAUGUUUCAAAAAGUACUAGCAAAGUCGUAGAGUAACAAGCCACUGAUGCUAACACAAAUAGCAUUGUCGUAAUUAAAUAUUUCUAAAUAUUCAUUUUUCAUUUUGAACCUGUAGAAACAAUUUAUUAUAUAUACUGUUAGCUAAGUAAUUGCAUAUUUAAUUAAGUCGAGAUAUAAAACUUAGUUAUUUUAAUAAUUUAAAAAAUAAAAAACUGACAAAAAUUUCAAUUUAAUUUAUGGUUGGAACAAAAGACAGUUAUUUUUCAUUAAUUGAAAUAUUGCAAUGCAGAGUACUUUCGAAAAUACGCCGAGAGUAUUCCUGAUGGUGAAACGAGCGUUGCUUUAUCGAAUGCAGCUAAAGAAAACAACAUCUAUGUAGUUGGUGGUACGAUGCCUGAAAUAGAGGGCGAUAAAUUGUACAAUACCUGUACUAUUUGGGGUCCCGAUGGAACUUUGAUAGCAAAACACCGAAAGGUACAUCUAUUCGACAUCGACAUUCCUAAUAAGAUUACUUUUCGAGAGAGUGAUUCACUCAGUCCUGGUAACUCCCUAACGACGUUCGAUGUGAAGGGCUGCAAAAUAGGUAUUGGCAUUUGCUAUGAUAUUAGAUUCGAGGAAAUGGCACGCAUUUAUCGGAACAAAGGUUGCCAAAUGCUGAUAUAUCCAGCGGCAUUCAAUAUGACCACUGGACCACUGCACUGGUCAUUACUUCAGCGUUUCAGAGCGAAUGAUAAUCAAUUAUACGUUGCCUGCAUAUCACCGGCUCGUGUUCCUUAAGCAAGUUACGUCGCAUGGGGACAUACACAGUUGACCAAUCCCUGGGGAAAGAUUCUUUACGAUUUGGAAACUCAAGAGAAUAUGGCAGUCACCGAUAUCGCAUCUGAAAAACAAGACAUCUUCGAGACAGCGUGGGUUUUCUUUCCAACUUUCUUAACUUUCAACAAUAAAAUUUUCGUCAAACGAUACAAUCUAUCCAACAAAGUUCUUGUAGACAGCCAAUCUCGUAAGAACAUAGAUCUUCUUCAAGUAUUAUUCUUCACAAUGCUUCGUGUGGAAUUUCUACUUGACGAGUUAUUAUUAAACGAUUAAAAGCUUAUUAUUAUACGAUAAUGUAAUAUCGUAGAAUAGCUUUGAUUGGAGAUCGGCUGAAAUUAGAAAACACCGUGUACGCCGUCUUUUUGUGGUUUGUUUACAUCCAAGAGCGCCUAGUAACAGUGACGCGAGAAAAGAUAAGCAGCGUCAAAACAGAAGUACGGUUUCAUAUUUCAAGGAGUGGCAAUCGAGAGGCCAGAGUAUGUGAGCCGAAAAGUGUGUGUGUGUGUGUGUGUGUGUGUGUGUGUGUGUGUGUGUGUGUGUGUGUGUGUGUGUGUGUGUGUGUGUGUGUGUGUGUGUGUGUGUGUGUGUGUGUGUGUGUGUGUGUGUGUGUGUGCGCGCGCGCGCGUGUGUGUGCGUGCAGGACCGAGCAGGAAUGCAUUGGCGAGGUUCAGAGUUGAUCGAGACGUCGAAGCAUAGAGUCGUUAGAAUUGAGUUGCGAGUGUUGUCGAGUGUUAGAGUUGCUAGUGAGAGAGAGAGAGAGAGAGAGAGAGAGAGAGAGAGAGAGAGAGAGAGUUACCAAAUAGUUGUCAAGUUAUUUGAUGUAAAUACGAGCGUUGCAUUUAGUUUUCCUGUUAAUCAAACAUCGUUUCUCUGUCUGUAUUUUCUGUCUGUAAUAUCUGUAUUUUCAAUCCAUUAUUAAUAAAUUAUAAUUAAUCGGACAAAAUUACACCUUUAAUAUAUUCCGAUAUUACAAUAACUUACUUUUUUCUACGUCAAUGGACACGAAAGACGUUGAGUGAGGAAUUAGAACAAGUGUGGAUCGUUGGAAACCACUAUGCUGCGGUCUACCAUUCGUUUUACCCUAUAUAUACCACGGAACAAAGGAUAAUUUUCACCGGCUUGGCUAUGGCUACUGGUGUGGAUCCAAGUA
RNA transcript from Bombus huntii, 2485 nucleotides. It is a transcript of the gene named omega-amidase NIT2-A-like, with no coding region annotated. The record is from RefSeq and is a predicted model, not a curated record. NCBI's taxonomy places the organism in Eukaryota, Metazoa, Arthropoda, Insecta, Hymenoptera, Apidae. The transcript has 5 exons.